This 117-nucleotide non-coding RNA is filed under the name Nomascus leucogenys (northern white-cheeked gibbon). The record is from Rfam by way of RNAcentral. Lineage: Eukaryota; Metazoa; Chordata; Mammalia; Primates; Hylobatidae.
GCCGGGUGUGGUGGCUCACGCCUGUAAUCCCAGCACUUUGGGAGGCCGAGGCAGGUGGAUCACCUGAGGUCAGGAGUUUGAGACCAGCCUGACCAACAUGGAGAAACCCUGUCUCUA